AACGCACCUUGCGCUCCUUGGUAUUCCGAGGAGCAUGCCUGUUUGAGUGUCAUUAAAUUCUCAACCCCAUCGAUUUGUUUCGGUUGUGGGAUUGGAUUGUGGGGGUUUGCUGGCGGACUCUCGUCCGUCGGCUCCUCUGAAAUGUAUUAGCAAAGGUUGAUGUGCGAACCAGUGUCUCGGUGUGAUAAUGAUCAUCGUGCCUGACGUGCAGUGUCCUGUGCUUACAGUCGUCGUAAGACAACAUUUUGAACCUUUGACCUCAAAUCAGGUAGGAUUACCCGCUGAACUUAA
Molecule: unclassified non-coding RNA, 291 nt
Filed under: uncultured Serpula
Lineage: Eukaryota; Fungi; Basidiomycota; Agaricomycetes; Boletales; Serpulaceae
Description: sequence contains ITS2
Rfam family: 5.8S ribosomal RNA (bases 1-52)
Source: RNAcentral